Molecule: ribosomal RNA, 400 nt
Filed under: uncultured bacterium
Lineage: Bacteria
Description: bacterial SSU rRNA
Rfam family: Bacterial small subunit ribosomal RNA
Source: RNAcentral
CCGAGAAUAUUGGACAAUGGGCGAAAGCCUGAUCCAGCGACACCGCGUUUAGGAAGACGGUCUUCGGAUUGUAAACUAAUUUUGUAAGGGAAGAAGUUAUUGACUGUACCUUACGAAUAAGGGGUUGCUAACUCUGUGCCAGCAGCAGCGGUAAUACAGAGACCCCAAGCGUUAUCCGGAUUUAUUGGGUGUAAAGGAUGUGUAGGUGGUUGAAGUAGUCUCUUGUUAAAGUUUCAGAGCUCAACUUUGAAAAUGCAGGGGAAACCAUUCAACUAGAGGACGUUAGAGGUUAGUGGAACUAUCGGUGUAGGGGUAAAAUCCGUUGAUAUCGAUGGGAACACCAAAAGCGAAGGCAACUAACUGGGGCGAUCCUGACACUGAAACAUGAAAGCGUGGGUAG